Molecule: ribosomal RNA, 432 nt
Filed under: uncultured bacterium
Lineage: Bacteria
Description: partial 16S ribosomal RNA
Rfam family: Bacterial small subunit ribosomal RNA
Source: RNAcentral
CCUACGGGAGGCAGCAGUGGGGAAUAUUGGACAAUGGGCGCAAGCCUGAUCCAGCCAUGCCGCGUGAGUGAUGAAGGUCUUAGGAUUGUAAAGCUCUUUCACCGGUGAAGCGGUAACCGGAGAAGAAGCCCCGGCUAACUUCGUGCCAGCAGCCGCGGUAAUACGAAGGGGGCUAGCGUUGUUCGGAUUUACUGGGCGUAAAGCGCACGUAGGCGGACUUUUAAGUCAGGGGUGAAAUCCCGGGGCUCAACCCCGGAACUGCCUUUGAUACUGGAAGUCUUGAGUAUGGUAGAGGUGAGUGGAAUUCCGAGUGUAGAGGUGAAAUUCGUAGAUAUUCGGAGGAACACCAGUGGCGAAGGCGGCUCACUGGACCAUACUGACGCUGAGGUGCGAAAGCGUGGGGAGCAAACAGGAUUAGAUACCCUUGUAGUC